AUUUCUCUGAGAUGUUCGCAAGCGGGCCAGUCCCCUGAGCCGAUAUUUCAAACAAACAGAAUGUGACGCUCCACGACCGGUGAGCAUGCCCGGUCCGUCCGGGAAGCCUUAAGGUCGUGACGACACAUUCACCUUGAACCACGGGUUCAAGGGUUACAGCCUGCGGCGGCAUCUCGGAGAUUCC
RNAcentral lists this non-coding RNA (184 nucleotides) under Mangrovibacter plantisponsor. Its description in RNAcentral is "6S / SsrS RNA". It matches the Rfam family "6S / SsrS RNA". Rfam says of the family: E. coli 6S RNA was the first non coding RNA to be sequenced, but its function was unknown until recently. The record is from RNAcentral. RNAcentral also lists the same sequence under 1 other name. Lineage: Bacteria; Pseudomonadati; Pseudomonadota; Gammaproteobacteria; Enterobacterales; Enterobacteriaceae.